This 450-nucleotide ribosomal RNA is filed under the name uncultured bacterium. Its description in RNAcentral is "partial 16S ribosomal RNA". It matches the Rfam family "Bacterial small subunit ribosomal RNA", at positions 338 to 795 of the family's 1533-position model. The record is from RNAcentral.
CCUACGGGUGGCAGCAGUAAGGAAUAUUGGUCAAUGGACGAAAGUCUGAACCAGCCAUCCCGCGUGCAGGAUGAAAGCCCUCUGGGUUGUAAACUGCUUUUAGCAGAGAAGAAAAGCUUUCAUUAAUGAGAGUCUGACGGUAUCUGCAGAAUAAGCACCGGCUAACUCCGUGCCAGCAGCCGCGGUAAUACGGAGGGUGCGAGCGUUAUCCGGAAUUACUGGGUCGUAGGGGUGCGUUUGAGUAGGUGGUGAAAUCUUGUCGCUUAACGAUAGAAUUGCCAAUGAUACUGGUACUCUUGAAUUGGGUUGAGGUUAGCGGAAUGUGCCAUGUAGCGGUGAAAUGCAUAGAUAUGUCAUGGAACACCAAUUGCGAAGGCAGCUAACUGGGCCUUGAUUGACGCUGAGGCACGAAAGCGUGGGUAGCGAACAGGAUUAGAUACCCCUGUAGUC